ACUUUUAAAGGAUAAAAGUAAUCCACUGGUCUUAGGCGCCAAAAACCUUGGUGCAAAUCCAAGUAAAAGUA
RNAcentral lists this transfer RNA (71 nucleotides) under Sceloporus grammicus (Graphic spiny lizard). Its description in RNAcentral is "tRNA-Leu". It matches the Rfam family "tRNA". Rfam says of the family: Transfer RNA (tRNA) molecules are approximately 80 nucleotides in length. Their secondary structure includes four short double-helical elements and three loops (D, anti-codon, and T loops). Lineage: Eukaryota; Metazoa; Chordata; Lepidosauria; Squamata; Phrynosomatidae. The record is from RNAcentral.